GAAGUAAUCUCAACAAACACCUUGUGUGCGCGUUGGACUUGGGGGCUUGCUGUUGACUUGUUCACAGCUCCUCCUAAAUGUGUUAGCUGUUGGUGAUGAACCACUGUUGGCUUGAUAUCUUGUCUGUGCCGCGGUUGUACAUGUACCAGUGCUGAUAAUCGUCCUCGGACAACUU
RNAcentral lists this unclassified non-coding RNA (175 nucleotides) under uncultured Agaricomycetes. Its description in RNAcentral is "sequence contains ITS2". The record is from RNAcentral. Lineage: Eukaryota; Fungi; Basidiomycota; Agaricomycetes.